UUCGGCAGGAGCGAUUCAGGGCUUCGUCUGGCCGAGUCUCCGGGCGAGGUGGAACCUCCGCGGCCGCCUGCGGGGGCUCUGCGGCCGGCACGGGAGGGAUGCGAGUCACAGAGAGAGAAAGAGAGAGAGAGAGGCAGAGACGCAGGCUCCAUGCACCGGGAGCCCGACGUGGGAUUCGAUCCCGGGUCUCCAGGAUCGCGCCCUGGGCCAAAGGCAGGCGCCAAACCGCUGCGCCACCCAGGGAUCCCGAGAACAGCUGACAGAUUCUAUGUGAGGAGGAAGGACCUGGAAGGAAGAUGGUGGCACUGCCAGCAGAGGGCUGUUAGGGAGACGUGGCUCGGAGGAAGGCCAGAACCACUGCAGCCCACCCAGGCCUGGGUGUAUUCCAGAUGAUGGUUUUGGUGCCAUACCUGAGAAGUCUUUGCAUAACCCCAGGUGACAAAGAUUUUUUUCUAUGUGUUCUAGAAAUUCUGUGAUUUGGGGUUUUACUUUUAGUCUCUGGUCCAUUUUGGUUAGUUUUUACAUGAUGUGAGAGCAUACUGAAUUUCUUAUUUGUUUGUUUGCAAAUGGAUAUCCAGUUGUCCCAGCACCAUUUAUUGAAAAGGCUGUCCUUUCUCCAUUGAAUUUUCUUUGCAUCUUUUUUGAAUAUCAUUUGACCAGAUAUAUGUAAUCCUAUUUCUAGAAUCUCUAUUCUGUUCCACUGAUCUACUUAUCUUUAUACCAAUACCAUACAGUGUGAUUACUAUAGCUUUAUAAUAAGUCUUAAAAUCAGGUAGGAUAAGCCCUUCAAAUUUGCUCUUCUUUUUCAAAGUUGUUUUGACUAUUUUUGUUUGGGAUUUUUUGUUUGUUUGUGUGUUUUGCAUUUCCAUACAAAUUUUAUUUUAUUUUAUUUUUUUUAAUUAAUUAAUUUAUUUAUUUAUGACAGUCACAGAGAGAGAGAGAGAGAGAGAGAGAGAGAGAGAGAGAGAGACAAGCAGGCUCCAUGCACCGGGAGCCCGACGUGGGAUUCGAUCCCAGGACUCCAGGAUCGCGCCCUGGGCCAAAGGCAGGCGCCAAACCGCUGCGCCACCCAGGGAUCCCUCCAUACAAAUUUUAGAAUCAGCUUUCUAAUUUCUACAAAGAGGACAAUGCGGUUUUGUUUAGGAUUGCAUUGAUUUUACACAAAUAGUAAGACUCAUCAUUUUUUUUUUAAAUCAUGCCUCAAGAGUCACAGUCACUUGUUUUCUAAUGUUCAUACUUUUAAAAAGCCAAUUGUUUCUCUCUCUCUCUCUCUCUCUCUCUCUCUUUAUUUUAGGUGUUUUGUUUUUUGUUUUCAGUUUUGGUUGUUUUUUUUUUUGUUGUUGUUUUGUUUUGUUGUUGUUGUUGUUGUUUGGUUUGGUUGGUUCAGGCAGGAAUUGUAAAUCUGAUUCCUGUUAUUCUAUCUUGACUGGAAACGGGAGAGGAGCAUCAAGGCCUUUGACACCAAAUCCUUUGCUCUUUCCUUAAGAAGCCUGCUGGAAGAGAAGGUGGAUAUAGUCUCACCUUAAAACAAACAAACAAAGAUGGAAUAAAAAGUUAAAUUUGGGACGCCUGGGUGGCUCAGCAGUUGAGCACCUGCCUUUGUCUCAGGUCAUGAUCCCAGAAUCCGGGAUCAAGUCCCACAUCAGAUUCCCUGCAAGGAACCUGCUUCUCCCCCUGCCUAUGUUUCUGCCUCUCUCUCUCUCUCUCUCUCUCUGUCUCUCAUGAAUAAAUAAAUAUUUUUUAAAAAGUUAAAUUUUACUCCCAUUACUGCCUUCAAUAAAUACUUAUAAAUACCCUGUCCCCCACUUUCUGAUAUGACUACCCACCAAUUUUUAAAUUCCCAAAUUUUUAUUCUCACACAUUAAAUCCAUUAUUUUUGUUUAAUUCUUAUUAUGAAAAGUCACCCAAAAAAAAAAAAAACUAAUAUUGGAGCAAAUUUACUGAUUUGGAGGAGAUGCCUUUUCCUCUGUAAUUCUGCUAUUUAAGUGACCUCCUAGUAUACAGGACAUAGCCAUUUCGUUUGAAAAGAGGGACUGUUAUUUUAAAAUCUCAUCUUCUCCCAAAACAGCAGAAUCCAGGACUAUGGGAUAUUGGUGGUUCUAAGCAGAAACCCUAAUGAUCUACCAUAUAUACUUAGCUUUUGACAUCAUCAACUUUUUGGAAAUGAAACUGUUGGGAAAGCUGAUCUAAUGUCAUCCAUUAAAUAAGAAGGAUAAAAUUAGAUCAUUAAAAUGAAUGUGGCUGGUGCCAAGGUGAACAUAAUGAAAAAUACGUUAUUACUCUCCCUUAUUUCAAAACAACCCUUUAAUUAAGAUUUCUUCCACCAGCAAAACUAAUUUCAUAAGUUUAUACAGCCAGCAAAUUUCAAUUUGCACCUCCAGAAAGUAACCCUUUUGCAUUAUAGGGAAUUUAUGUUUAUUAUCCAGGAAGGAAAUGAGGCCAGAAGGCAAAGAGACACCUCCGCGUGGUGGGGUGAUGAUUGUCCUGUCCAGCCUGGGCACACACAGAGAACAGUUACAUUUCCAAUUCCUCAGACUAAAUUUAGUCUUAUCUACUUUUCACAUCAACAGCCAGUCUAAAAAAUAUUGUUGGAGAUAACAGGCUGGCUCUGGACUGUAUCCCUCCUUGAAUUUGUUGAUGAAAGUAGAAGCCUGAAUAGCAGAAUCAUUCCAGUUUCUGGUUUCCAUGAAGAUGGGGCAGCAUAAAUUCAAUAACUGUUCAGAAUAUUAAUUUAAGCUUCAGCCUGACAGCCAAUGAUCACUGGAACAUAUAGUACUGACCCAGCUGCUCAGCUGUUUUAGAAAUGACUUAAUUACACAGUUGGAAUAGCUGCUAGCGCCAAAGACACAAGGAAAAAAAAAUACUUAAAGGAGAAACAAGACAGGAUUAAUUUCUGGUCUAACUUAUUAAGACCUCCUGCUGUCACCUUUUGCCAAGCCACUGAGCCUUCACUUCUUAGAAAAUGAUCACAUACCUCCAGCUACUCUUAUUCGUUCCCUUGAUUUUGCAGAAAUCAUAACAACACCCAGGAGUCAUUAAAAGCACCUGGAGCAUGUAAUCUGUUCCAAAUGGGAAAAGACUUCCCAAGGGGACCAGGGAUGGUCCACAGAGCCUCAUCCCUUCCCUCCGUGGUGUAAAAUUUCCCACUAGACAUUGCUACACAAGCCCAGGAUGCCUCUCAUUUCUCUUCUACCCUCCCCCUCCUCCUUUCUCUCCUCUUCCCUCUUUCAAUCUUUCUUCCUUCCCUUGUCAGCCUUUGGCUGCUGGAUUGAGGCUGAAGAUGGGGUGUCAGACACAGUCAGAUGUGGAGCUGCUGUCCAUGCACCUGCUGAGCAAUCUGUAUUCACCACUCAUUGAAUCCUUACAAAAACCUAGAGAGGAGGUGCUUCUCCCUGUUACCCAGGUACAGCAAUGGAGACCAAGAGGGCUUCUGUCAUUCCUGUAAGGCCAUUAUACUGGUGAGUAAGUGACUUCUCUCUGUUUUAAAACCAAUCUCUGUGAUGCUGAGGCUGGGACUCUGCAAACCACAUUUCUGCUUUGUCAUUGGCUCUUCAUUGGCAUGCUAGCGGGAGACUGUAGGGCUGGGCAAGGGAGAAGGAACUGCUGCUUCCUGUUUGCUUCCUGGUAUAGUCAGCAUCAUGCCUGUGGUGGUUUUCAUCUCAGUGGCAGUAACUUCCCACAUCCCCAGACCAGCCCUCAAAAAUGCCAGCGUCAGUCAACCCAGAGGUCUGGGCCCCAGUUAUAAAGGGCUCUGCUCUAAGUUUUGAGGUUCUAAUGCCUUCAUCCUCUUCUCUUUGUCCUGCUAGUCCUAGGAGUAAUAGCUGCUUCCUAAAGUCACCAUCCCUCUGGUGCCUCAGUGGCUGCUUCUUCUUCUUCUUCUUCUUCUUCUUCUUCUCCUCCUCCUCCUCCUCCUCCUUCUCCUUCUUCUUCUCCUUCUUCUUCUCCUUCUCCUCCUCCUCCUCCUUCUUCUUUCUUCUUCUUCUUUCUUCUUCUUUUCUUCUUCUUCUUCUUCUCCUCCUCCUCCUUCUCCUCCUUCUCCUCCUCCUCCUCCUUCUCUCCUCCUUCUCUCCUCCUUUUCUUCUUUCUUCUUACCUUUUUGCAUCUCCAAUACCCAUUUAACCAAUUCCCUCUGUUAAAUUCUUUUCUGUGAAAGUUACUGGUUUAACUAAUACACAGAGCACUAGGAUUCAAAACCAAGUAUGUCUGACUCCAGAUCCAGGCCCUUGAUCCCUACUCUGUGCUAUUCCCAUCCACUUCCUCUUGCUACCUGUGGCAAAAAUGCUUUGCUUUGAUCAACCUUUACUUAACCUCCUGAACCUUCUCUGAAGCCCAUUUGUACACUACCUUAUAAAACUCUAGUUUUAGCAAGAGCCCAGCUAAGUCAGUUUAACCAGAACCUUCUACCCUUGAUAUCUCAUCAGGCUCCUCAUGCUCCACUACUCCCCCAGGUGAUGUCUGGUCACCCUGACCUGUCUGCAGCAAGAAUCAGUCAGUUUAGCUAGACAAAUCCCCCUUACCCUGGAUGUUUCCUCUCAGUGAUUUUCCAUCUACUGACCCUAUCUGUGCUCCUUGGCUCUAAAUUCCCACUUGCUCAUCCUGUAUUCAGAGUUGAGCCCAAUAUCUCUCUCCCACCGUGAAAUCUCAUUGCAGUGGUCCCAAUAUGUUCAUGAUAGUCCUGAAUAAGGUCUGUCUCACCAUCUUCAACAAGUAUCAUUAAAAUUGUUUUCAUUAACAGUGGCAUUCAGAAAAUACUUUGGAUCAAAUCGUUAGGACCUCAAGUUACAGUCUUUGGGUGUAUUCCCUGGGGAAAGUCCUAAACCUUGUCAUAUUGAUGACUGAAGAUUCCACCCUCUGUUAAAUGGUUUGGAAAGCACCUGGCAUAACAUGAGUGAAUACAAUAGCCUCAGCUAAACAAGAUGGAGCUCUGAUUAAUAUAUUCCUAAAAGAUCACAGAAUUGACACAUUUGCAAGUCAUAGUGGUAAUGGGAACUUACCAGCCCUCUGAGUUUCAACUGGAAAUCUCAUUUCUCUAAAAGCAGAACAUAUGGUAUACUUUUGACCUUGUCCUGCUGUUAAUUUCAUUUUGCAGAGGAAGAGAAAGAAACACAAGGAACUUCCCUCCUAAAUUUAAUUCUGACCUUGGAAGAAGAACUAAAAACUGAUUAUUGAAGCAGAAGUAUAGGAAGCUAGGGCUGGGGGACUGGGAAUCUUUCACAUGGGGGGGUUAAAAUGCCCCCCCCCCAAAAAAAAAAAAACAUUCGGAGGAGGCUCUGACAUGGAACCUGAAGUCAGCACACAACUCUCAGAAGUUUGGAGGAAAGUGCAGUCUGAUCCCAUAACCAAACAAUCUGAAAGAGAAAACAGUAUAAAAGGGAUGACAGGAUCUCAAAACAGAAAAUCUGAGGGUUGAAGAGCAUGGCUCCUGAUAAGGGGUGAAGGGGAUUGGCCUCCAAAAAUGCCAGUAUGCCUGCACAGAGAGCAGUUUAACGAGCUUAAUUUAUCAAAGGCCUCUGCAGAAGAUGGGAGAAGUGUACAGCAGAUGGUGAUCUGUAGAUGCCUCUUUGUUUCAGAUACCAUCUAGAAUGAGCUGUCCAGAUCAUUGCCUUCAAGAUACACAUCCGGGGAGGAGAAAAUAAUAAGCCAAUAAAUAAGCAAUAAAACAAUCCAUAAUUCAUAAUAAGCAAUAAUAAAUCCAUAAAGGAUGACAGGUAAGUACAAUAAUGUUAUGUGUCCGUGUGUGUGCUGAACCAACUGAAACUGACAAUAUUCUACCAUUUUGACCUACAAAGAUGGUCAUUUCAUAUGGUACGAACUACGGUAUUGAGGGGGGUGUCAUUCUUCAUAAGGUCAUGAGAAAAGGCCUCUCAGAGAAGGUGGCAUAGGAGCAGGGAUCUGAAUACAGGGAAGGAAUGAGCCAUGUCAAAACAGAAGAGUGUUCCAGACUUAGGGGAAAGCAAGGUUCAAUAUUUUGAGGUGGGAAUGCUGGGUGUGUGUGAGGAAUGUCUGGAAGUCCAGCGUAGAUACACUAGAGGAAUAGGGCAGAAGCAGCACGAGAGAAGGUGAAAGUGGCAGCCAGAGACAGAUCAUAUAGGAGGGCCUUAUAUAGCCCACAGGUCAUGACAAAGACUGAGUUUUGUUCAGGGAAUAAAAUGAGAAGCCCUUAGAGAUCUGAGAACAGAGGUGAUGUGAUAAAAGAUCAACCUUAGGAACUCUGUGGAGGAGCAAGCAUGGAAGCGGGGUGAGGGAGCAGGGAGGAGGCAGUGAAGGAGGUGAGGCUGGAUAGACGUUAGGAUAUAAAAGUGGCAGAAUUUGCAGGUUGAAUUAGAUAUAACAGUUGAGAAUGAAAAAUUGAAGAUGACAAGAAUUUUGACCUGAGCUACUGGAUAAAUGGAACCAUUUACUGAACUAGGAAAGAGAGAAGGUAAAAAAUGUAUGUGGGUAGAAAAAAAAAAGUUUGAUUUUAAAUACAUUCAAUUUAACGUUCUUCUCAGUUAUCUAGUUUGAGAUAACGGGGUAGGAAGCUGGAUAAACAAAUUUAGUGUUUUAAGAAUAGGACAAAACAAGAUAUAUACACUUGGGAGUUAUUAGCAUAAUGAUUUAUUUAAUGCAAGGGGUGGGUAGAAAUCAAGGGAAUGAAUGUAGAUAGAACAGAGACGAGGUUCUCUGAGGCACCUGGGCAGUUCAGUGGUUGAGCAUCUGCCUUUGGCUCAGGUCAUAAUCCCUGAGUCCAUGAUCCCUGGGAUCCCUGCGUCCUGGGUCCUCCCCACAGGGAGCCUGCUUCUCCCUCUGCCUAUAUCUCUGCCUCUCUCUGUGUCUCUCAUGAAUAAACAAAUAAAAUCUUAAAAAAAAAAAAAAAAGAACAGAGAAGAGGUCUAAGAACAGAGGUCCAGGACACUUCACCACUUAGAGGUUGUGAGGAAGCAGAUCCAGCACAGGAGACUUAGGAGCAGCUGUCAGCGAGGAUAGAGGACAAGCAUACACACAGUCACUCUAAGGCCCAGUCCUUGCCAUAUCCCUGUUUGCAAGAGGCAUCUUUUGAGAAGGCAUAAGGGAAGCUAGAGAAGGAUCCACAGGAGAAUCCUCAGACAUCAUCAGUUCAAAUAAAUAUGAGGGUAAAACUCUAGAGACUCCCUCCUGUCCAUGAGAAUGAUCCUCUGUGCCACCUCUACCUUUUCCUAACCUCAAGUGACAAAAGUCAGUUCCUCAUAUUUCAAGUACAGAAAUGCCUCUUGGCCUUUCCAAUGGUCACAACAAGUAUAACUCACAAAUCCUAAUCAAAAUGCAAUCACUUUCUAGAAGUUCAUCUGAAAAUAACUCCUGCCCAGGGUAUGAAAGAUCUGGCUCCAAGGAAACCCCAGAGGAAUUCUCAGACAUGUAUUGGCAAAGAAUAUUAAAGGACUAAAGACUAAAUUAAUUAGAAGACUACACAAAGGAAAAGAAGAGGAGGAUCCGAAAAGAUGAUCAAAGAUAGAGUAAACGGUAAACAGUCAUUCUGGGUGGUACUGUUUGGAGACCACCUCUAGAAUACAGUUACAAAUCUGCAGAAAAGCCUUCUAGAAGAGGCCAGGUCUCUGCCACUUGGGACAAUUGGGUCAACAGGACUUGCUGAGUGGUGUUUAUAUGCCCCUCUGGCUACAGAGCUAGGGAAAGAUACCUGCCCAGAUCCACCUCCCUCAGGGAGUCAGAAGAGACUCCCAGCAGGAGGAACCAGGUAGGUACAUACCAGUCAGAGCUGCCCCCAUACUCAGGGUGAUUCCACCAGUUGCAAAGUAAAAUUUUUAUUCUAGGUAUCUCCGUAAAUAAAUAAACAGCCAAGUGCUGAUCUUAAGAUCAUAAGAUUUUUAGAAAAGGUAUUCAGAAGUAUGAAUUUUAAAAGUAGUGUUCACUUGUGCAUUGCUGGGGGAAUAAAAUGAUGCAGCCACUGUGGAAAACACAUGGCAGUGCCUUAUCACGUGAUCAAGUAGUUCCACUCCUGGGAUUCUUUUCUUCUUUCAAAAAAGUGAAGACAAGGACUCAAACAGAUAUUUAUACACUCAUGUUCUUAGCAAUGUUAUUCAAAAUAGCCAAAAAGCUGAAGCAAUCUAAAUGUCUGUCAACAGAGGAAUGAAUUAAAAAAUAUGGUAACUGCAUACAGUGGAAUAUUAGUCUAAAAAAGAAGGAAAUUCUGACAUCAGACAACAUGGGAUGAAGCUUGAAGACAACAUGCUAAGUGAAUUAAGCCAAUCACAAAAAGACAAAUGUGUGCUUCUACUUCUAUGAGGUACCCAGACUUGUCAUGUUCAUAGAGACAGAAAGUAGGAAGCUGGCUGCCAGGUGCAGGGGGAAGGAGGUCAUGGGAAGUUACUGUUUAAGGGGAACAGAGUUUCAGGUUAGGAUGAUGAAAAAGUUUUGGAGGUGGAUGAUGUGAAUAUACUUAAUGUCAUCAAGUUGUACGCUUAACAAUGGGUAAAGUGGUAAAAACAAAGGUGAAGUGUUCCAAGAGUAUAAGGUUAAAAGGUGAUGGUUCAUUAGGCAAAUGUGUCUCAAACGCAUGAUCGAAAUUCCUUAGUUGGAACAAAAAUCUCAUUGUUAGUAUUAAAGAAGCCAUCUUUUAAAAUAUGUGGGAGUGUAUACGUGUAAAACUUGGUAUAUGUGUGUCAACAUAUUAGUUUUGUGUGGCUCACCUUCAGGAUUCUUUCUCUUCUUCGUGAAUGUGAGAUAAAUUCAUCAUGGAAAAAUUACAGAUCUCAGUAUAAUUCUGAUAGCUGGAGGAUAGUGUAUUUUCAAGUGUACUGGACUUUAAAUAACUAAGCCAAAAUGGUUGCAUUAAUUAACUUAUAUCCUUAAUCACUAAUUUCAUUUUUUAUAUUUCCCCUGACUUCUGGGGGAGGAAUAAUCUUUGUCUCAAAAGCAGACUUUAGUGACCUAAUGAUUUGAAAAGCAACCAGAGAUAACGAGGUAAAGAUAUUUAAAUGGAAACAUGCCAGCAAUUACUAGUUAAUUGAAAGUUUUGAUGUUUUUGGCCUGAGGUCUAUGCUUUCCCUGCUAAACUAUAAUGUGGGCAGGGGAGAGUAACAACAUUGUUUCCUCUUUUAAAAUGAAAGUGCCGAUGAGUAAUUUUGAAGUUUUUAUUAAAUUAAACAUUAAAAGAUGGUAAAAAUAACAAUUUAAAAAAUCUGUUAUAUCUCAGUUGAGGGAUUUUCUUUUUUAAUUUUUUAAAUUGCAAUAUAAGUGACAUACAAUAUUAGUUUAAGGUGUACAACAUAGUGAUCAACGUAUGUAUAUAUAGUGAGAUGAUCACUACAAUGAGUAUAAUUAACAUCCAUCACCACACAUAGUUGCAAAUUUGUUUUCUUUUGAUUAUAACUUUUGAGAUCUACCCCCUUAGGAGCCUUCAAAUAUGUGAUACAGUAUUGUUAACUAUAGUCACCUGCUAUACAUUACACCGCCAGAGCUUAUUUGUUUUAUAAUUGGAAGUUUAAAACUUUUGACCUCCUUUACCCAUUUCUUCCCUCACCCCUUGCCUGACAACAACUCAUCUGUUCUAUAAGUUUGGCUUUUUUUAUUUUUUUGAUUCUAUGUUAUCAGUGAGAUCAUAUAGCAUUUGUCUUUCUCUGGCAUUUCAUUUAUGUUCAUCUAUGUUGUUGCAAAUGGCAGGAUUUCCUUCUUUUUAUGGCUGAAUAAUAUUAUAUUGUCUCUCUCUCUCUCUCUCUCUCUCUAUAUAUAUAUAUAUAUAUAUAUAUAUAUAUAUAUAUAUAUAUAUAUAUACCACAUCUUCUUGAUCCAUUAAUCCAUUGGUGGACACUUAGAUUGUUUCCAUGUCUGGGCUAUUGUGAUAAUGCUGCAAUAAACAUGAGAGUGCAGAUAAUCUCUUUAAGAUAGUGGUUUCAUUUCCUUUGUAUAUAUACCCCAUGUAUAUGUUACUCUAUUCUACCAACAUUUGUGAAUCAUAUGUUACUUCUAUUUUUAACAUUUUUGAGGAACCUCCGUACUGUUUUCUACAGUGGCUGCACUGUAUUGUAUUGCAUUCCCAUCAACAGAGCUAGAGGGUUCCCUUUUUUCCACAUUUUCACCAACAUUUGUUACGUCUUGUCUU
Nyctereutes procyonoides (raccoon dog) is the source of this 10075-nucleotide long non-coding RNA. RefSeq lists it as uncharacterized. Lineage: Eukaryota; Metazoa; Chordata; Mammalia; Carnivora; Canidae. The record is from RefSeq and is a predicted model, not a curated record. The transcript is spliced from 4 exons.